Molecule: ribosomal RNA, 403 nt
Filed under: Anemonia erythraea
Lineage: Eukaryota; Metazoa; Cnidaria; Anthozoa; Actiniaria; Actiniidae
Description: partial 16S ribosomal RNA
Rfam family: Bacterial large subunit ribosomal RNA
Source: RNAcentral
AUUGUUGGCCGGUAUGAAUGGCGUCACGAAGGCCCCACUGUCUUAAGAGGACUCUCCAUGAAAUUGAAUUCGUAGUGAAGAUGCUACGUCCAUAUUGUAAGACGAAAAGACCCCAUUGAGCUUUACUAAAGACUUGCAUGGCUCAAAAAAAAAAAAAAUUUGAUUUAAAUAAAGAGUUUAGAUAAUGUGGGAUCCGUUUCCGGUUAAUGAAACACCACUCUUUUAUUUUAAAAGAGCUAACAUUGCAGGGAUAAUGUAAGUUGGAUAGUUUGGUUGGGGCGACCACCUUUUAAAAGGUAACGAAGGUGAGCUUAAGGUCCGUAGUUAAUAGCCGGUGGCCUGACUGCAAGGGGGACGUCUCGAGCAGACACGUCCUUAGGGAUGUGGGCUAUAGGACCCGUCU